GAUGAACGCUGGCGGCGUGCCUAAUACAUGCAAGUCGAGCGAACAGACGAGGAUCUUGCUCCUCUGACGUUACCGGCGGACGGGUGAGUAACACGUGGAUAACCUACCUAUAAGACUGGGAUAACUUCGGGAAACCGGAGCUAAUACCGGAUAAUAUAUUGAACCGCAUGGUUCAAUAGUGAAAGACGGUUUUGCUGUCACUUAUAGAUGGAUCCGCGCCGCAUUAGCUAGUUGGUAAGGUAACGGCUUACCAAGGCAACGAUGCGUAGCCGACCUGAGAGGAUGAUCGGCCACACUGGAACUGAGACACGGUCCAGACUCCUACGGGAGGCAGCAGUAGGGAAUAUUCCGCAAUGGGCGAAAGCCUGACGCAGCAACGCCGCGUGAGUGAUGAAGGUCUUCGGAUCGUAAAACUCUGUUAGUAGGGAAGAACAAAUGUGUGAGUAACUAUGCACGUCUUGACGGUACCUAAUCAGAAAGCCACGGCUAACUACGUG
Molecule: ribosomal RNA, 497 nt
Filed under: uncultured bacterium
Lineage: Bacteria
Description: partial 16S ribosomal RNA
Rfam family: Bacterial small subunit ribosomal RNA
Source: RNAcentral